RNAcentral lists this long non-coding RNA (961 nucleotides) under Homo sapiens (human). Its description in RNAcentral is "HSALNT0360055". Lineage: Eukaryota; Metazoa; Chordata; Mammalia; Primates; Hominidae. The record is from RNAcentral.
AGUUAAGCAGAAUGGGAAAAUGGCAUACAAUCUAAUUUACCUUUCCAGCUCUUGGCACAUGGGUAGAUUAAAGAUGUAUAGAGGAAGGAGGAGAGCAUUUUAGCUGGAGGCAGUAAAGGAAGUUGAAUUAUGAGUGAGAGAUCUGAUAGGAAAAGGAAGGAAAUUAAAGACAGGCUGGGUUAUGGAGCCCCUUGACUUCAGGCUGACUUAAAGCAGUAGGCAACAGGGAAUCGCCAAAGGCUGCUGGGCAAGAAACCGUGGUAACGGUCCUAUGGGGGCAAGAUAUCUCUGGCAGCCAGUGCCAGGUGGAUUGCAAAGGGACUGAGUAGGAGGGCUGGAACUCAGGACAAGCUGCUGAGGGAUGCUGGAAAGGAAAGCUUGGUGGACGCGCUGACUCCUGGCACAUUAAGAAUGAAGAAAGUGGUGCCAUCCAAAUGGUUUCUCCGACCUUGACCUCCACAGGCUGGGAGAAUAACAGCACCUCCACCAGGAAGUGUGGUUGGGCACCGAGGAGAGAAUGUGCUUUGUUUCAGGACCCACAGCAGGAAUUUGAACACAGAUCAGUUAGACCCCAAGCCAAGCUCUUAGUCCCAUACAGAGUUGGGCCCUGGUGGAAGAAUUGUUUGGCCUAAAGUGUCAACAGUGUCAAGAUUGAGAAGCCCUUGUGUAGACCCAAGGAUGGGCAAAAGGCUCUUAGGAAGAUGGCAGCGCUUCACAGAUGCAGUGCCCAAGUCUCUCUGGCCACGGAAUCCCCCAGAGUUCUGGUGAUCACCUCCAUAUCUCCAAAUAAUGUGUUUCUACCACCACUUCUUGCUUUAUCAACUAUGCACUUUAUCUACUGACCUUCUACCGGGAUAAAUGAAGACUCAGCUCACCAAAAACUCACCUGCCUCUCUUUCAUCCUUCUUCCCAAGAUAGCUAAAUCAGUUCUUAAUUCUUCUACUGGUCACCUUUGUGUAAA